GUUCUUUCAGAUAGUCGAAUGACUUGGAAAAGUCAGUCAAAGAGGGUAAAAACCCCGUAGACGAAAUGUGGAAGACACCUAGGAGGAUCCUGAGUACGGCGGAACACGAGAAAUUCCGUCGGAAUCCGGGAGGACCAUCUCCCAAGGCUAAAUACUCCCUAGUGACCGAUAGUGAACCAGUACCGUGAGGGAAAGGUGAAAAGCACCCCGGAAGGGGAGUGAAAUAGAACCUGAAACCGUGUGCCUACAACAAGUCAAAGCCCGUUAAUGGGUGAUGGCGUGCCUUUUGUAGAAUGAACCGGCGAGUUACGAUUGCAUGCGAGGUUAAGUUGAAGAGACGGAGCCGCAGCGAAAGCGAGUCUGAAUAGGGCGUUUGAGUAUGUAGUCGUAGACCCGAAACCAUGUGAUCUACCCAUGUCCAGGUUGAAGGUGCGGUAAAACGCACUGGAGGACCGAACCCACGUACGUUGAAAAGUGCGGGGAUGAGGUGUGGGUAGCGGAGAAAUUCCAAACGAACUUGGAGAUAGCUGGUUCUCUCCGAAAUAGCUUUAGGGCUAGCCUCGGAAUUGAGAAUGAUGGAGGUAGAGCACUGUUUGGACUAGGGGCCCAUCUCGGGUUACCGAAUUCAGAUAAACUCCGAAUGCCAUUCAUUCAUAUCCGGGAGUCAGACUGUGAGUGAUAAGAUCCAUAGUCGAAAGGGAAACAGCCCAGACCACCAGCUAAGGUCCCAAAAUAUAUGUUAAGU
RNAcentral lists this ribosomal RNA (745 nucleotides) under Enterococcus faecium. RNAcentral's name for it is "partial 23S ribosomal RNA". It matches the Rfam family "Bacterial large subunit ribosomal RNA", at positions 319 to 1064 of the family's 2925-position model. The record is from RNAcentral. Lineage: Bacteria; Bacillati; Bacillota; Bacilli; Lactobacillales; Enterococcaceae.